AUUGAACGCUGGCGGCAUGCCUUACACAUGCAAGUCGAACGGCAGCACGGGUGCUUGCACCUGGUGGCGAGUGGCGAACGGGUGAGUAAUACAUCGGAACAUGUCCUGUAGUGGGGGAUAGCCCGGCGAAAGCCGGAUUAAUACCGCCUACGAUCUACGGAUGAAAGCGGGGGACCUUCCGGCCUCGCGCUAUAGGGUUGGCCGAUGGCUGAUUAGCUAGUUGGUGGGGUAAAGGCCUACCAAGGCGACGAUCAGUAGCUGGUCUGAGAGGACGACCAGCCACACUGGGACUGAGACACGGCCCAGACUCCUACGGGAGGCAGCAGUGGGGAAUUUUGGACAAUGGGCGAAAGCCUGAUCCAGCAAUGCCGCGUGUGUGAAGAAGGCCUUCGGGUUGUAAAGCACUUUUGUCCGGAAAGAAAACCUUGGCCCUAAUACGGUCGGGGGAUGACGGUACCGGAAGAAUAAGCACCGGCUAACUACGUG
This 486-nucleotide ribosomal RNA is filed under the name uncultured bacterium. RNAcentral's name for it is "partial 16S ribosomal RNA". It matches the Rfam family "Bacterial small subunit ribosomal RNA", at positions 30 to 507 of the family's 1533-position model. The record is from RNAcentral.